UAUCUAUCUAACAUGAACUUCUUUCUUCUUCUCCUCCAUUUUAACUUUAGCCUCUCUUUCUCUUCUCUUUGUUUUCUUCACUUAUACUCACAAAAUCCACCAAUUUGACACCAUUCAACUUGAUCUAAUAAUCAAUCUUUGAGAUUAAAGCUUGAGAAAUGAUAUUUGGUGAAUAAUUUCAAGUAAUUUGGAGGACAAAGGGUGGAGAAUUUCCUACCAAAGACAAGGGAAAACUAAGGCUUAAAAGAGUCUUAUUUAAGCUUGUUAGAGCUUAUGUUUAAGGUUGAAGAUGUUGUUGCUACUUGA
Non-coding RNA from Jatropha curcas, 306 nucleotides. Lineage: Eukaryota; Viridiplantae; Streptophyta; Magnoliopsida; Malpighiales; Euphorbiaceae. The record is from RefSeq and is a predicted model, not a curated record.